RNAcentral lists this ribosomal RNA (1201 nucleotides) under Bacillus velezensis. RNAcentral describes it as "bacterial SSU rRNA". It matches the Rfam family "Bacterial small subunit ribosomal RNA", at positions 47 to 1220 of the family's 1533-position model. Lineage: Bacteria; Bacillati; Bacillota; Bacilli; Caryophanales; Bacillaceae. The record is from RNAcentral.
CCCAAAACAUGCAAGUUCGGAGCGGACAGAUGGGAGCUUGCUUCCCUGAUGUUAGCGGCGGACGGGUGAGUAACACGUGGGUAACCUGCCUGUAAGACUGGGAUAACUCCGGGAAACCGGGGCUAAUACCGGAUGGUUGUCUGAACCGCAUGGUUCAGACAUAAAAGGUGGCUUCGGCUACCACUUACAGAUGGACCCGCGGCGCAUUAGCUAGUUGGUGAGGUAACGGCUCACCAAGGCGACGAUGCGUAGCCGACCUGAGAGGGUGAUCGGCCACACUGGGACUGAGACACGGCCCAGACUCCUACGGGAGGCAGCAGUAGGGAAUCUUCCGCAAUGGACGAAAGUCUGACGGAGCAACGCCGCGUGAGUGAUGAAGGUUUUCGGAUCGUAAAGCUCUGUUGUUAGGGAAGAACAAGUGCCGUUCAAAUAGGGCGGCACCUUGACGGUACCUAACCAGAAAGCCACGGCUAACUACGUGCCAGCAGCCGCGGUAAUACGUAGGUGGCAAGCGUUGUCCGGAAUUAUUGGGCGUAAAGGGCUCGCAGGCGGUUUCUUAAGUCUGAUGUGAAAGCCCCCGGCUCAACCGGGGAGGGUCAUUGGAAACUGGGGAACUUGAGUGCAGAAGAGGAGAGUGGAAUUCCACGUGUAGCGGUGAAAUGCGUAGAGAUGUGGAGGAACACCAGUGGCGAAGGCGACUCUCUGGUCUGUAACUGACGCUGAGGAGCGAAAGCGUGGGGAGCGAACAGGAUUAGAUACCCUGGUAGUCCACGCCGUAAACGAUGAGUGCUAAGUGUUAGGGGGUUUCCGCCCCUUAGUGCUGCAGCUAACGCAUUAAGCACUCCGCCUGGGGAGUACGGUCGCAAGACUGAAACUCAAAGGAAUUGACGGGGGCCCGCACAAGCGGUGGAGCAUGUGGUUUAAUUCGAAGCAACGCGAAGAACCUUACCAGGUCUUGACAUCCUCUGACAAUCCUAAAAAUAGGACGUCCCCUUCGGGGGCAGAGUGACAGGUGGUGCAUGGUUGUCGUCAGCUCCUGUCCUGAGAUGUUGGGUUAAGUCCCGCAACCAACGCCAACCCUUGAUCUUAGUUGCCAGCAUUCAGUUGGGGCACUCUAAGGUGACUUCCCGUUGACAAACCCGAAGAAAAGUGGGGGAUUAGCGUCGAAUCAUCAUGCCGCCUUAUGACCUGAGGGUAAGCG